Long non-coding RNA from Oncorhynchus masou masou (cherry salmon), 1353 nucleotides. RefSeq lists it as uncharacterized. The record is from RefSeq and is a predicted model, not a curated record. Lineage: Eukaryota; Metazoa; Chordata; Actinopteri; Salmoniformes; Salmonidae. The transcript is spliced from 2 exons.
UGUAAUUGAACAUGUACAGUUGGUUGUGUAUACGGAAGGGAAGAGCUUCCUUAUUGUGUCAGUACAGAUGGUUCCUUAUUUUAUGGUUCAUUGUUCUUGUCUGUCUUUUGUAAUUUGUUCAAACGUAAUAGUUUUACUUCAGCCAGUCAAUAUUUGUCAAGGUUUUUUUACGGUCAGAUUUUCAAAGACUUACUGAUCAUUUAACGUACCAACUCAAAGAUGUUCAGUCAAAGGUGGAGCUUCGGGGAAACUACACUGUUGAAACGGGUUGGAGCUGGAAGGGAUUGGGGUUGGUAUCCCGGGCCGGUAUCCUCGUUCCGAUGCGAUAACACUGCCUCUCAAUGACCUCACACUAGUCACUCAGGGGCUCCCGAGCGGCACAGCGGUCUAAGGCACUGCAUCUCAGUGCUAUAGGCAUCACUACAGAUCCUGGUUCGAUUCCAGGCUGUAUCACAACCGGACGUGAUUGGGAGUCCCAUAGGGCGGCGCACAAUUGGCCCAGCGUCGUCCGGGUUUGGCUGGGGAGGAUGGCCACAACAGAACCUCCAGGCAGGCAGCUGUAAUAUUGCCAUGGCAAUGACCUACAUUCCAUACCAGGACCUACCCACUACCCAGUGCUGGCUGGGUGGCCCUCUGUUGGACCGAGCUGGGCCUCUCUCUCUAUAUGAAGGAUGAAUACAAAGCCACACUCACGUGCUGAUUGUAGACUGAGAGUGUAAGAAUAUAAUUAUUUGUGUUAAGAAUUCAGGAGCAUAGGCUAUACUGAAAAGAUUUGGCAUGGGUCCUCAGAUCCUCAAAAAGUUCUACAGCUGCACCAUCGAGAGCAUCCUGACUGGUUGCAUCACCGCUUGGUAUGGCAACUACUCGGCAUCCGACUGCAAGGCGCUACAGAGGGUAGUGUGUACGGCCCAGUACAUCACUGGGGCCAAGCUUUGUGCCAUCCAGGACCUCUAUACCAGGCAGUGUCAGAGGAAGACCCUAAGAAUUGUCAAGGCUUCAGGCCACCCAUGUCAUAGACUGUUCUCUCUGCUAUCACAUGGCCAGCGGUACCGAAGAAAAUCUAGGUCCAAAAGGCUGCUUAACAGCUUCUACCCCCAAACCAUAAGACUGCUGAACAGGUCAUCAAAUGGCCACCCAGACUAUUUGCAUUGAAACCCGUUUUUAUGCUGCUGUUUAUUAUCUAUGCAUAUUUCCUUUAUCCCUACCUACAUGUACUGUAUAUGUUUCCUCAAAUACCUCGACGAGCCUGUACCCCCGCACAUUGACUAACCGGUAUCCCCACACAUUGACACGGUAUAUAGCCUCUAUAGUUAUGUUAUUGUGUUUCUUCAAAAAUAAAACUUUUAUUGUGUU